Piliocolobus tephrosceles (Ugandan red Colobus) is the source of this 2701-nucleotide long non-coding RNA. RefSeq lists it as uncharacterized. The transcript is spliced from 3 exons. Lineage: Eukaryota; Metazoa; Chordata; Mammalia; Primates; Cercopithecidae. The record is from RefSeq and is a predicted model, not a curated record.
UAGACUUGGGCUUCUUGGUUCCCGGCGGGUUUUGUCAAGUUUUAUGAUCACCAUUACAUUCAGCCCCUCUGAAAUGUUGGGAAGCUGGGAGCUUCCUUCCUAUUAGGAAGCCUUGCCUUGACUUUCAUACCAAUAAAGUUGUUCUUAGACCAGAGUUCAUCCUAAUAAGCAUCUUGAGAAUUGCCCCUGAACUAAGAAUUACUUCCCCCUCUGUCUGCCCUAAGCCUCAGAAUCUUACACAGCCUACAUGCCUUGAAUCUAAGAUAGGGCUUAUAGCAUAACAACUUUUUUAUCACCUUCCAUCAGGCAGCAAAGCCUCCAGGUGGAUUAGGCUGAGUAUAUAAGAAGCUUAUAAGGUAGCAGAUGUCAGGCCUCAGUAAAGGUCAUUCUGCUGGGACUAUUCUCUUUCUGGACACAGAUUUCUUCCUGGACUAGUGUAGAAUGUGGAAGGAGGACUGGUAUUCUGCCACAGACCCUUGGAAUGCUCAAGAUAAAGGAUCCUCUGUGACGGAUGUGCACAUGGUCUAAGAACCUAGGGCUGAAAGUGGCAACAUGUAAAAGGACAAUGGAAUACAAUGAGAUAAUGUUACUUGAUCAUCUUUCCAAGUAUGACACACGAAGGAUUACUAGAAUGUGAUGCUGCUGUGAUUUCUGGAUACCAAAUCUUUCUUUUAUGCAGAAAUGUACAUUCCUUCAUCAGAAAAAAAUAAGCUAGACAUCCUCAUUAUGGUUCCAUUUGAGGAAGAAAGAUUUAGGAAAGUUCUCUACCAUCUAACCAGGAUUAAUGCAUAAAGCUCUUACCUAAUCAAAUGUAGCCCAAAAAGUUGUUAAAGGGAUGCAGAAUAGAUGGGCUAGAGAGGGAAUUUAAAAAUCAGCUUUAAUAAACUCUUCCUAAGAGCCAAGAUCCACAUUAUGGGCGCAAAUUGCACAAUAAUAUAAUUGUCUUAGGGAUGUAAAGACUCCGUGCAGAAUAUUGGCUCAAUGCUCUGGCUCAGUUGAGUUGAAUGAUUUGGGCUAUCUAGGCUGUUGAUGUGUCACUUACUUGCAGGCCACUGGAGUAAUAUGAUUAAACCAGCCACUUAUAUAACCCUCCUAUAACAAACACAAGUGCCAGGACCACACUGAUGCAGGGGUGUGAAGCAGCCUGCAUUUCUCAAGAUGCUUUAGGCCAUCAGGAUCUGGUGGCACAGCACUCUGUUCUCAUGGCCCCAACUUUUCCAAGAAGUCUGACCUUCUAGCAGACAACCUAAAUUAAUGUCAAGUACAAAUGGAUUCUCCAUAAAAACAUUUGACUAAUUCAUUGCCUAGAUCUUAACAUUUGUGGCCAAAUUUCCAGUUUUCCCGAUGAAUAAUUUCUUGUUAGAAAAUGUCAGAAAAGGGAAAGACAUCAUGGACUUCUAUAGGAAGUAAAUACGACUAUUUUCUCCCUGAGUCAUGGGUCAAGGGUUUUACCAAUUUCCUUUCUAGAAUUUUUCCUAGGCUCCAAUCUAAAAGGAGUUUAGCACCAGAUGGGUGGGGGCAGGGAUGUGAUUAGCUAUUUAUUUGUAUUUCUACAAUGUUGAAUAUACUCUUAUUGCUAGGGAUUUCCAUUCACUUUCUCUGAAUAGAAAUUUGGUAUUCCUGGGGUUCGGGGCUGGUGGGAGAAUGUCUUUACAUGGCCACACAAAACCCAUCACAAUCUGGUGAUCCCUUGGAGUGUCUUGCUUAAAAGGGUUCUCGUCACUGGGAGUACUCACUGGAGCCAAGCCAGUUCCCUGGGGAAUGCUGGUGUCUGCUACUUACAGAGUUGGCUGUCAGAUUUGGCUUGUUCUUCUCCCCGGAGAAAGCUGAGCUUAGAGUACACAUCAAUUCACACAACUUGGUUUGAAUUUAUAGAUGCAUGCAAGAUGCGUCAAGCAUACCUUUCUGCUUUUGUGAUUCCCACCAUCAUGUGUAGCCAACCUCCAUCAAGCCUCAGCAUCUGUGCCUUUCAGCAUGACACUUAGAUCACUUCAGAACUAGUCUGAAAUCAGCUCUUUGAAAUUAUGCAUCACUAAUUUAUUGAUGUGGAUCAUGACGAAUCAAGGAAAGUGGAGUCAGAGCUGUGAGAAAAAGAAGAAACACAUCUGGUGGAGGGUUUUAUGGGCUUACAGGUGAGCCUGUUUGUGCCAGCCUGUAGUGUAGAAUUUUAACUUCUCCUAUAAAACAUCUGAGGUCUAGAGAUCACAAAUCAGAUAUAUUGCACCCAACGUUAAAAACAUCUCGUAAUUUACCAUAGUAAAUCAAUCAAUGUUUUCCUAGAAAUAUUGGAACUGAAACAAGAGUUGAGUGAAAACAGAAAAAUCUCUAGAGGUUUAGUUGGCUUAAAGGUAUUUCUUGAAAUAUUGAAUUCCAGGGGCUAGAAAACUGUAUUAGAGAUAUCCUUGAAAGGUGUUUUUUCAAGUGAUGGAAAAGUGGCUUCCAGAAAGUUGUUUAUUACUUGGUAGAAGGAACCAGUUAGUUAGGUUAUGGGAGGACAGUCAGCUCUCCGUUACCCGGGGGCCAGUUAUUCCAAAACUGUGUUUUGAUCCUUGUGUCCAUUGCUUCAUUUUGAUCCUUGUGUCCGUUGGAACUGCCAUCCAAAGGAUUGCUGAAGAAGGUGGAGAACAUGUGACUCAAAAUUAACAGUAUACUAAAAAUUAGCAGCAUAUUAGCUGUACUUAUUCUUUAGAUAGCUCUGUGA